UGUACCUUAUGCCAUUUGUGUAAUUUGAUUUUUAACACAUUUAAUUUGUUUUUGUGAUAGUAUCUUAAGUAUGUAAAAAAUGGUAUUGUUUCUUUCACUUGUUCACAGAACUUGAAAAAUUGUCGUUUAAUUUGACUCUGUUGUGGGCGUGUAUAUUGGGCGAGAAAUGUGUCUCUUUUCCCCCGAUUUUGAUCUGACAUAUAAUCGUGUUGAAUUAGAUCUUUAUCUAAGGUGAAAUUAUAUGUUAGAGUAUUGAUUGAAUAAUCACUGUCUUCAUAGGGUUGGCUAAAUUGUCCUUCUCUCAAUAUUCCUUCUUGGAUUUUUAUACCUUUUGUAGUGUACUGAGGUUUAGUCUUGUGAUCAAAAGUUUCUUCUACUGGUUUAGUAUUAGACGUUUGACCUUGAAAGGGUCCUUGAUAUGAAGGAAUGGUUGAUUCUUCAGAUAUACUAGCUUCUGUAAUUUCUAUAUUUUGUUUUUGUUGGGAAGUUCCGAUUGAAUGUCUAGAUGGUUGGUAAAUACUAGGAGUAUUUUGUCUAAAAGAGUUUGAUCUUUUAUAUUUUAAUUCUAAUGAUCCAUCUUCAUUUUGUAUGAUAUAGUCGAUUUCUUUAUUUUCCUUAAUAGGUUUACUAGGUAUUGUUUUUGCUGGAUAUUUCCAAUUAUCUGGUAAAGUAACAUCUUUCCAUUGUAAUGUUCUUGGUAUACUUAUAUUAGCUUUGGUUUGGUCUAUUUCCCAAAAUACUGUUUCUCCU
Molecule: long non-coding RNA, 750 nt
Filed under: Manihot esculenta (cassava)
Lineage: Eukaryota; Viridiplantae; Streptophyta; Magnoliopsida; Malpighiales; Euphorbiaceae
Description: long non-coding RNA (MESC_LNC010873)
Source: RNAcentral